GUCGUUGGCGGUGAUGGUGAGUUCGAUGUCGCCGUCGGGGCCGGUGGCGGCGUUUGCCGGAGAGAAGCACCUGGUGUGCCGAACACCGUCGAUGACG
This 97-nucleotide transfer RNA is filed under the name Gordonia sp. YY1. Its description in RNAcentral is "tRNA-Pro". The record is from RNAcentral. Lineage: Bacteria; Bacillati; Actinomycetota; Actinomycetes; Mycobacteriales; Gordoniaceae.